This 468-nucleotide ribosomal RNA is filed under the name uncultured bacterium. RNAcentral's name for it is "partial 16S ribosomal RNA". It matches the Rfam family "Bacterial small subunit ribosomal RNA", at positions 28 to 507 of the family's 1533-position model. The record is from RNAcentral.
GACGAACGCUGGCGGCAUGCUUAACACAUGCAAGUCGAACGGAAAGACCCUGCUUUCGCCGGGUGCUCGAGUGGCGAACGGGUGAGUAACACGUGAGUAACCUGCCCUUUACUUUAUGAUAACUUCAGGAAAGUGUUACUAAUACAGAAUAGGUGCUCCUGAUUCAUGGUGGUGUUUGGACCUUUCGGGCGGAUGUGGAUGUACGUCGGGUUAAUUAGUUUGUUGGUUGAGUAGUGGCUAACGAGGGGUUUGAUGGGUAGCCGGCCUGAGAGGGUGACCGGGCACAUGGGGACUGAGAUACGGCCCAGACUCCUACGGGAGGCAGAAGUGGGGAAUAUUGCACAAUGGGCGGAAGCCUGAUGCAGCAACGCCGCGUGCGGGAUGCCGGCCUUCGUGUUGUAAACCGCAUUCGCCUGUGACGAAGCGUGAGUGACGGUAAUGGGAGAAGAAGCACCGGCUAACUACGUG